GGAUGUAGCCAAGUGGUAAGGCAGUGGACUUUGACUCCAUCAUUCGUAGGUUCAAAUCCUGCCAUC
Molecule: transfer RNA, 66 nt
Filed under: uncultured Clostridium sp.
Lineage: Bacteria; Bacillati; Bacillota; Clostridia; Eubacteriales; Clostridiaceae
Rfam family: tRNA
About the family: Transfer RNA (tRNA) molecules are approximately 80 nucleotides in length.
Source: RNAcentral